This 484-nucleotide ribosomal RNA is filed under the name uncultured bacterium. RNAcentral describes it as "partial 16S ribosomal RNA". It matches the Rfam family "Bacterial small subunit ribosomal RNA", at positions 30 to 507 of the family's 1533-position model. The record is from RNAcentral.
AUUGAACGCUGGCGGCAGGCCUAACACAUGCAAGUCGAGCGGAUGAAUGGAGCUUGCUCCUGGAUUCAGCGGCGGACGGGUGAGUAAUGCCUAGGAAUCUGCCUGGUAGUGGGGGAUAACGUCCGGAAACGGGCGCUAAUACCGCAUACGUCCUGAGGGAGAAAGUGGGGGAUCUUCGGACCUCACGCUAUCAGAUGAGCCUAGGUCGGAUUAGCUAGUUGGUGGGGUAAAUGCCUACCAAGGCGACGAUCCGUAACUGGUCUGAGAGGAUGAUCAGUCAGACUGGAAGUGAGACACGGUCCAGACUCCUGCGGGAGGCAGCAGUGGGGAAUAUUGGACAAUGGGCGAAAGCGUGAUCCAGCGAUGCCGCGUGUAUGAAGAAGGUCUUCGGAUUGUAAAGCACUGUAAGUUGGGAGGAAGGGCAGUAAGUUAAUACCUUGCUGUUUUGACGUUACCAACAGAAUAAGCACCGGCUAACUUCGUG